This 424-nucleotide ribosomal RNA is filed under the name Verrucomicrobiota bacterium. Its description in RNAcentral is "Verrucomicrobia bacterium partial 16S ribosomal RNA". It matches the Rfam family "Bacterial small subunit ribosomal RNA", at positions 355 to 776 of the family's 1533-position model. Lineage: Bacteria; Pseudomonadati; Verrucomicrobiota. The record is from RNAcentral.
UGAGGAAUAUUGGUCAAUGGGCGAGAGCCUGAACCAGCCAAGUAGCGUGCAGGACGACGGCCCUAUGGGUUGUAAACUGCUUUUAUGUGGGGAUAAAGUGCGUGACGUGUCAUGCAUUGCAGGUACCACAUGAAUAAGGACCGGCUAAUUCCGUGCCAGCAGCCGCGGUAAUACGGGAGGUCCGGGCGUUAUCCGGAUUUAUUGGGUUUAAAGGGAGCGUAGGCUGUCUAUUAAGCGUGUUGUGAAAUUUACCGGCUCAACCGGUGGCUUGCAGCGCGAACUGGUCGACUUGAGUAUGCAGGAAGUAGGCGGAAUUCAUGGUGUAGCGGUGAAAUGCUUAGAUAUCAUGACGAACUCCGAUUGCGCAGGCAGCUUACUGUAGCAUAACUGACGCUGAUGCUCGAAAGUGCGGGUAUCAAACAGG